CUUGGUGACAUUAGCGCGAAGGACACACCUCUUCCCAUUCCGAACAGAGAAGUUAAGCUUCGCAGCGCCGAUGGUACUUCGGGGUUACCCCCGCGGCAGAGUAGGUCGUCGCCAGGA
This 117-nucleotide ribosomal RNA is filed under the name Bacteroidota bacterium. The record is from RNAcentral. Lineage: Bacteria; Pseudomonadati; Bacteroidota.